Molecule: ribosomal RNA, 253 nt
Filed under: uncultured bacterium
Lineage: Bacteria
Description: partial 16S ribosomal RNA
Rfam family: Bacterial small subunit ribosomal RNA
Source: RNAcentral
UACGUAGGGGGCAAGCGUUGUCCGGAUUUAUUGGGCGUAAAGAGCGUGUAGGCGGCUUUACAGGUCCGUUGUGAAAACUCGAGGCUCAACCUCGAGACGCCGGUGGAAACCGUAAAGCUAGAGUCCGGAAGAGGAGAGUGGAAUUCCUGGUGUAGCGGUGAAAUGCGCAGAUAUCAGGAGGAACACCAGCGGCGAAGGCGGUGCUCUGGGCCGGAACUGACACUGAGGAGCGAAAGCGUGGGUAGCAAACAGG